UACGUAGGGGGCAAGCGUUGUCCGGAAUUAUUGGGCGUAAAGCGCGCGCAGGCGGUCAAUUAAGUCAGGUGUUUAAGCCCGGGGCUCAACCCCGGUUCGCACUUGAAACUGGUCGACUUGAGUGUAGGAGAGGAAAGUGGAAUUCCACGUGUAGCGGUGAAAUGCGUAGAGAUGUGGAGGAACACCAGUGGCGAAGGCGACUUUCUGGCCUAUAACUGACGCUGAGGCGCGAAAGCGUGGGGAGCAAACAGG
This 252-nucleotide ribosomal RNA is filed under the name uncultured bacterium. RNAcentral describes it as "partial 16S ribosomal RNA". It matches the Rfam family "Bacterial small subunit ribosomal RNA", at positions 524 to 776 of the family's 1533-position model. The record is from RNAcentral.